AAGCGUGAGGUGCUUUUUAAGAUAUUAUUGAAAUAAUAAUCCUUCUACUCAUAUCUGUCAGAAAAAUAUUUAUAAAACUAAUAAUACCACUACACGUGAAGCGUUUAAGACGAAGGUUCGAGAACUGUUUCUCAGAGAGUUAGCAGAGUCAUCUAAUUGAUUAUUUUUGUUUAUAUACGUUUUACAUGUAUAUAUUUAUGUAUAUGUAUUUAUUUAAGUACUAUGUAUGUACUAUAUAUUAUGUAUGUUAUAUAUACACAUAUGUUUAAGUAGUAUCACCUUCACACUACACCUACCAAGCUUCAUUUCUGCACUCCCCUAAGGUAGACUGUUAGAGAAUGCCUAUGGCAUUAAGGCCGCCUUUAUACUUUCUAGUAUAAGAAGUUAUAAAUAAAAAAAAUAAAAAUAAAAAUACCAUGCACCCCACGUUCUUUUACAAUAUUUUUUUUACACUAAUUUUAAAUUUAAAUGUAUUAAAAUUUAUUUUCUAUUUUUUAGUUGAAUUUCAAUUUUUUAAUUUUUUUUCUUAUUAUUGAAUUGUCAUCGGCCCUCGAUAAAUCUACAAAGUUUGAAUGAAAUCUGGCCGUUUAAAGCGGGUCAAAAUGGCGUCUAAAGGAGUCAGUUACAAACAUACAUACGAGUGAAGCUUAUAUAAAGCAUGUAACAAAAGAACAAAAAUGGAGAACGCGCCGGGCGUCCGAUUAUUCGCCAAAGUGCAGUGGUGGCUUGCAAUGGCGGCGCGGUCGCGGACCAAUCACAGCCGGUUGAGGCGCGUUGCGAGGAAGGCACUGAUGAGAAUAAAGGGCGCGUUCUGAAGAGUCCCGGCGCGUUAUACCAACCUAUUCGCUGGUAGCCUAAGGGCUAUUUCAGCUAUGAACGGACGGGUAGGUGAGCUCACCGGCUCAACCUGAGAGAAUUUGCUAACAUUAGCCCUAGCAAGAGCAGUGCUUCUCAGAAUCUACCACCGGAUCGCGACCCACUGAGAGGAUCCGGCGAGAAACUCAUUGGGCUGUGUCUAUGGGUUGGUUCGAUCGUCGAACUCUUCGUCGUAGUUGACGAGGACGGUGAACGGUGCUUGAGAGACCAGAAUGAAUCCGGGGGAUCCGACAAGACAUGUUUCGGGCGAUGACGGCAUUGGGUUGCCCCGUCGCGAUCGGAUAAGACUCCGGGCUCUGUCAUAUUACCACCAAAGUACAAAUUACUAAUGAAAUAAAAUACGAGAAAGCUGUGGUAGGACCUCUUGUGAGUCCUCACCCCACCUAUAUCUGCCGUGAUGCAGUAAUGCGUUGCGGUUUGAAUGGUGGGGAAGUCGUUGUAACUAUACUGAGACCUUAGAACUUAUAUCUCAAGGUGGGUGGCGCAUUUACGUUGUAGAAUGUCUAUGGGCUCCAGUAUCCACUUAGCACCAGAUGGGCUGUCAGCUCGUCUACCCAUCUAAGCAAUAAAAAAUAAACAUAUUCUCCGACAGGCACAUAUCAUGUCUUCUUCUUUAGAUGCCGACCCUGGGCGAUCCCUUAGCCCUUAGGAGCAGUGUGGUCCAAUCUACUUUUUUUGUUUUGUUUAUCCUACCUAAGCUGAUAGCCCUGAGAGGCUAUAUCAGCGGAACCUUAACUACUUAGUAGGUGAGCUCACGGGGCUCAAACCUGACGACGCCGCGACGUAGCUAUCACGAACCCUAACAAGAGCCGUGCUUCGCAGAAUCUACCACCGGAUCGGAAACGCGACUCACUGAAAAUAUCCGGCGAGAAACUCAGUGGGCUGUGUCUGAGGGUUAAUUUACUCGUCGAGCCCUUCGUCGCAAUCGACGGGUUCGACGAGAACGAUGACCAGUGCUUGAGGUACCAAAUAGCACCGUUAGUGGAUCGGGAGGAUCCGAAAUGACGUGUUUGGGGCGACUGCUUUCCAUUCUGUCCGCAGGAUCGGGAAUGUAGUUACCGGCGGCCACGAUGAGAGGGUUCUCAUGUCGUGCCGCUUUAUCGAAGUGGCGCAUCGACGCCAACUGCAGAUACUUACUGAUGGACUUUAAUUCCAUGUCGUCAUUGAGGUCGACGUUCCUUACGAACCACGAAUCCAAUCUACAUUAACCACUUGACGAAAGAGGCGCUCGAAUAAUAGUAUUUUUCUAUUUUUAUAGUAGGUACAAUUAUUUUCUUGUACUACAAAAAUACUUCUCUAUCAUAUUCCUAAUUGCAUAAAUUUUAGCUUAUCAAAAAACUAAAUUAUAAAUUAAACUGUUUCUCGUUUCUAAUCAUCUUUUGAAUAUGUAUUGUUUGUUUAAAUGCUACAUUUAAUUCUAAAAAUUGAUAACGUUUUAGAAUAAAAGCGCUUUUUGUCAUUCAUUCGAUUAAUAACAGAAUUGUAAGAACCCCUCAACACAUCAUGAAAUUCAUAGUGCUUCUCCUUUGCUUCGUCGCGUACCUAGCUGUGGUUCAGACGGAGCCGCUGCCCAUCGUCAGCAGCAUAGCCACCGCGGGCGGAGCCGGCGAGGAUGUUGCUGCAUCCGCCCUGUCUCAACACCAGGGUGGUAGAACUUACGCAAGCGGCCGCUCGCACGUGUCAAGGGGAGUGGCUUCAGCAUCAGCCGCCAGUGGCUAGAUUAUGAAAAUUUUGAAUGUAGAAGUGAUAAUAAAAUGAAUUGACAUAUACCAAA
Bombyx mori (domestic silkworm) is the source of this 2650-nucleotide long non-coding RNA. RefSeq lists it as uncharacterized. The transcript has 2 exons. The record is from RefSeq and is a predicted model, not a curated record. Lineage: Eukaryota; Metazoa; Arthropoda; Insecta; Lepidoptera; Bombycidae.